GCCGGGAUGGCGGAAUUGGUAGACGCACCUGAUUUAGGUUCAGGCACCGAAAGGCGUGCAGGUUCGAGUCCUGUUCCCGGCA
RNAcentral lists this transfer RNA (82 nucleotides) under Neoluteolibacter arcticus. Its description in RNAcentral is "tRNA-Leu". It matches the Rfam family "tRNA". Rfam says of the family: Transfer RNA (tRNA) molecules are approximately 80 nucleotides in length. Their secondary structure includes four short double-helical elements and three loops (D, anti-codon, and T loops). Lineage: Bacteria; Pseudomonadati; Verrucomicrobiota; Verrucomicrobiia; Verrucomicrobiales; Verrucomicrobiaceae. RNAcentral also lists the same sequence under 3 other names. The record is from RNAcentral.